This 2420-nucleotide long non-coding RNA is filed under the name Eucalyptus grandis. RNAcentral's name for it is "long non-coding RNA (EGRA_LNC002567)". The record is from RNAcentral. Lineage: Eukaryota; Viridiplantae; Streptophyta; Magnoliopsida; Myrtales; Myrtaceae.
CAAAGUAUCGCCGACCCUUUCGUUUAUUAAGCACAUGCGGAAGCAGUUAAAAUCCCCAGACAAUAAAACGAUGGGAUAGAAAAGUAGGGCCAUAUUUUUCAUAUUGAAAUUUAUAACCAAACUUUUAUACAAAACACAAACCAAUUUAUAACUAUUCACUUCAAAAGAAAUUCUCAAAAGAAGAUAGACUCUCAGCCCAUUUAGGCCAUACUUAAGGCCCCUCUCGGGAUUAUCUUCUUCUUCCAAAAAUCCUUCUCUUUAAGUUUCACCUCCGAGUUCUCCUUCUUAGACUCCUCCUCAGCUCCUCAUCGGGGUCCUGAAAUGUUUUUCCCCAAACUGGGAUGAGACUACGUCUCAGCGAGUUCUACCCCACUAAGCCCGAUUAGUAAACCAUUAUACUAUAGGCUGCCUAAACACGCACAGGGCAGAGGACUUACCUUGGCCUCAGAUUCCACCUGCAAGUCAGUACAAUUCACAUACCUUACGUAUAGAAUCGAUACAUCCAGCAAUUGAAACGCAUCACUCAACUCAAUAAAACACAAGGGUCCAGAUUAUAGGGCCAAAUCGUUAUGACACGUCCCAUACCAUGUCACACAAUUAUGUCUCAUAAUCCGGCGCAUCAAACUCAACCAUCAUGCGUUCCAAUUGUUAAUUACACCCCUCAAGGGUACGGCCAACUCUAUUGGCGGUCUUCUGGCAUUGCCAGGCGUCGUCUCCCCCGUGAGCACGGCAACGUCUCUCAAUUAGACGGCUUCCCCGAAGGGGCGUAGGUCCAGAAUCUACUGCGACCCGCUACCCUAAUGCAUGGGUAACCCGAAAAGGGAUUUAGUAACGUCCGGCAUAAUUGCUCGAGACUGGUUCUCUUAACCAACACACGACCACUCAAUCUCGGCCUAGGACCCUGUGCAUUGCACUCAAAUGCCUCCAUUAAAAUAGUGAUCCUGGCCUAUUUCCUUCGUAUUAAAAACAUCCCGAAAAUAGUCGUGUGUGGGUACACGGUCAAUUCGAACCAGAAGACUGAUACUUAUCUUUUUCAAACCCCACUAUUUGAUAUAGUACUAAAAAUCCAUUUUCGGUGUUAAAACCCGACACCCGGGAUUUUCUGAAUAAAUAUCAAGAUCCACAAAUUUUGGAAUUAAAUACCAAGAAUCCAAUCAGCACUCAAUUUGCAUAAUUUAACACUCAAUUGCAGAAUUUAACCACGCCAUUUACCAAUCCAUAAUUCAGUCUCUAUCAAUUCCAAUCAAUUUAGAGUAAAUCUCUAAAAUAUCACAAUUUAUUUAAUUCCAUACAACGUGGAGCUCAAAUAAAUAAACGGACUGCGCCACAAUGAUCAGCACGAGAUUUCGGUCGUCGGCCAUCAAAAUCUUAAUUUCCGAAAAAUAAUUAAUUAAUUUAUUAAUUUUGAAAAUUAAAUAAUUAAUAUUAAAAAUUCAAUUUAGCACAAAAUAAAGCCUAAUUAAAUAAACGAACUUCACCACAGUCAUCAGCAUAAAAUUCCGGUUCCGGACCAUCUCAGUUGAAUUUUCGGAAAAUAAAUAAAUAAUUAAUUUAAUUCCGAAAAAUAAUAUUUAAAUGCCAAAAAUCACACUUAGGCCCAAAUCGCCAAAUUGAAGCCCAAUUAGGGGUCGGAAAAUUUCCGAGAUACUUCCAAUAAAUAGUAGACCACGUCUACUUGUUAAUUGCGCAAUCAAUUUAUCUAAAUCACAUCACAAUUAACUAAUAAUUGCUAAUUUAUUCUAAUCUAACAACCUAAACAUAAUUAAUUAAAACUAAACCAACCUUAAGCAUAAUUAGCCAACUAAUCCUGGAUUAGUGAGAUUACUCACCAAAUCGUGCGCAAAUCGGAUCAAUCCGACGGCGGCGACGCGAGGAACGAAACUUCCCAAAGCGACUCGCGGAUCCAGGGCCCGGAAACGGCCCAAAAGCGGGCCCAAACCAGCUGGAAACCCAUUUCGUGGGUUGCUGGUCGGGGCUGGCCGGGGUUGCUCCGGUGGCCAAAACAGCGAGGGAAGGCCAGCGGAAGGUGAGGGGGACGCCGGGGAGGUCCGGCGGAGUUGGGCGGUGGCCGGAGGUGGCCGGACGGGGCGGAACACGGGCUGAGUAGAGGCUGAACGGUGCACGGCGAGGACGGCACGCGCGAAGGGGCGGUGGCGGAGCACGCGGCGUGCGCGGGCGAGCGUUGCGCGGGUGGUGGUCCGGCUCCGGUGCGGCGGCGAUGAGCUUCGGCGAGCUGAUUUUCUUCUUUGCUGGUUUUGGUCUCGUUCGCACAAAGAAGAACGAAGAAGAAGAAGAUCACGUGGGAUGAUGGAGAAGAGAGAGGAGAGAGAAGAAGAGAUAAGAGAGAGAAGUUUUGACUAGUCAAAGAGGAGAGAGAAGAGAAAGCAAAAUUGAACUUGGCAAGGGUGUGUUCGGUGGGG